AGUUUUUAAUAUUCAAG
This 17-nucleotide small RNA is filed under the name Arabidopsis thaliana (thale cress). RNAcentral's name for it is "ATSL009400". Lineage: Eukaryota; Viridiplantae; Streptophyta; Magnoliopsida; Brassicales; Brassicaceae. The record is from RNAcentral.